AUGACCUUACUUGAGCAGUAUCUGUUAUAUAGGUUACACAUCUAUUUCCAUUGACAUUAUGGGGACACACACCUCAAUUUGGAUGAUUCCAUGAUGUCACAUGGCCAGAGUGUGAAUGCCAGAUGUGGGUCCCAAUGGAGUAUCAAGCUCCAUAGAAGACCACUCUCUCCAAGCCUUGGCUCGGAUGACAGGGUCAUGUGGCAGUCCUGAGAGAUC
RNAcentral lists this small nucleolar RNA (216 nucleotides) under Amborella trichopoda. RNAcentral describes it as "snoRNA Plant_U3". Lineage: Eukaryota; Viridiplantae; Streptophyta; Magnoliopsida; Amborellales; Amborellaceae. The record is from RNAcentral.